UACGAAGGGGGCUAGCGUUGCUCCGAAUCACUGGGCGUAAAGGGUGCGUAGGCGGGUCUUUAAGUCAGGGGUGAAAUCCUGGAGCUCAACUCCAGAACUGCCUUUGAUACUGAGGAUCUUGAGUUCGGGAGAGGUGAGUGGAACUGCGAGUGUAGAGGUGAAAUUCGUAGAUAUUCGCAAGAACACCAGUGGCGAAGGCGGCUCACUGGCCCGAUACUGACGCUGAGGCACGAAAGCGUGGGGAGCAAACAGG
This 253-nucleotide ribosomal RNA is filed under the name uncultured bacterium. RNAcentral describes it as "partial 16S ribosomal RNA". It matches the Rfam family "Bacterial small subunit ribosomal RNA", at positions 524 to 776 of the family's 1533-position model. The record is from RNAcentral.